This 1842-nucleotide long non-coding RNA is filed under the name Sarcophilus harrisii (Tasmanian devil). Its description in RNAcentral is "lncRNA (ENSSHAG00000021887.1)". The record is from RNAcentral. Lineage: Eukaryota; Metazoa; Chordata; Mammalia; Dasyuromorphia; Dasyuridae.
GUUCUGCAAACAUGUUUAAUGCACUUAGAUUACACUGAGGGAGAGGGGGUGGGAAGGAAACCGUUUCAGUGAGUCACUGAAAAAAUUCUUACAAAAGUCCUGGCCUGCCACAGUGCCCAGGAACCAAGUCGAUCUGACAAUAGAAACUACUACAAAAGAUUAAAAAAGCUCCGCUUAAAGCAGCUUUCAGAUUUUCGUAACAAAAUGAGAAGUUGAGUUACAGUAUCCUGACCCAAGGCAGGACUUAGCACUUCCCUUUGGGCACAAGGUUCUCUCAACCAGAGAGGAAGAGCCUUCUUAAAAAGCAGAAAAGGGGGACUCCUUCACAGUAGAAUGUUGAGAGUUCAGCUCGCCACCAAUCUUCAAAAUUCAGGCCAAACACAGUCUUAGGUCUGUCUCUUUUCAAAAAGUGCUCUAGCCUUUCAGAUCCCUGAGACCUCUUUCCACUCCUCUCCAUCUUAUUUCUUGGGCCAUCUCUUUAGAAAGAGACAAGGCAAGACCAGAGUGUUCUUAAGAUAGAAUAUGGCCAUGUUUGAAUUCCUAGAGACACAGAGGUGGAGGUGAGCAAUUCUUUAGCCUUUAAAGGGUAGUUGCUCAGAAGUGCUAAGUGAUAAUGACAAGCUUUGCCCAAUUUUUUCAAAUUCUUCCUGUCCUGUCAGACUUGAUUUAUCCAAUCAGAGAACCAUCAGGAUGAAAAGAUAUGGGAAGCUCCCCUUUGUCAGAGGCUACCAUAGAAUUUGAGACAGGAGGAGACUGUGGGAGAAGAAAAUAGUCUUAAGUGGGACCACUGACAAAUCCCUUGGAGCUGGGAGAGUUCAAGGUAGGAAAAAGAAGAUACCAGUUCAGGGUACAAGUUCUGGAGGUUUCUGCCUGGAAGAUGUCUACAAAGUCCAAGGGAAAACUGGGUCAGCAAAGAACUUGGCGAUAAUCCCUGUUCCACUCUUCUUGAGAAUUGAACAGAAAAACUAUAGAGACCAUCUAACUUGUAGUUCCUUUCCACUUUGACCAACGGAAUGACUAAAGCCAAUGCAAAGGCAGCAUGUACAUACACAACCAUGCAUGGAAAGUACUUUGGAAAAAGGACAAGAAGCCCUUCUGGACCCAGAAGGAACAGUUCUUAGGAUAGGAAGGGUUAAGAUGGGUCUGUGGCCACUGACCUGCCAGACUGUCCACUGAGCUUUCUGGGCCAUGUAUAUUCUUUCACCUUUCUACCCUGAGCUAAGCUAUCCUUUAUAUCACUCUCUCCAUUCAAAAUGGAUUGAUUGAAUUACCCAGGUCCCUGAUAGUGAUAGUGAAAACUCAUUAAUCCCAAACCUCCUCAUGCAUCACUUGGUUGCUUUGGGCACCAAGGGGGAGCUGUGCCUUAGACAACAAACCAGAUUAGAACUAAAGGGCCGGUGGAGAGGACUGUGGGGUAGAGAGGCAAUGAGCCCUGGUGGAAGGCCUGGAGUAGUGGGGGAAGGGGUGUCAGGCUGGCAGCACCUUUCUUCCCACUCCAUGUGGCAGAGAAGUGGAGAUGGCAGCAGAGGGAUUAGGGGAUGAAUUGGAAGCAUCUCAGGGCUAAGGCUAAAAUUGUUCUUCCUGGAAAAAUCCUGAGACCACCAAAGAACACUGCUAGAGUCAGAGAUGGUAAGAAGGCAGUCAACUAGCUGGGGUCCAUGACACCCACAACCAGCUGUAAAGGGGGACAUGGGAUGAAGAUGGAGCCCUCAGGCAACACCCACAAUUUUCAUGAAAAAUGCUCAUGUUAAAGCACUCUUAGGCUUGAGUAGAUGAUGCACUUGGAAAACGCAGGGAAAGAUUGGGUUUUCUUCACAUCUAAGAUUCAUUAGUAGUCCAUAA